Molecule: long non-coding RNA, 220 nt
Organism: Manduca sexta (tobacco hornworm)
Lineage: Eukaryota; Metazoa; Arthropoda; Insecta; Lepidoptera; Sphingidae
Exons: 2
Source: RefSeq, a predicted model, not a curated record
UUUGUUUUACCCACUGUACAAAAAUCAAUGAUUUUGGCGUAUCACAGACAAUAAGGCAUAGAGCUAGGUCAGCUGACUUAAUUUUUAUCAUUGGUCUUGUGAUAAGUUGUGAUAUUCCGCCAUUCUCGGUUCGUCUCAUCCAUCUUUCUCGUCUCAACAGGACACACAGAUAGUACAAAAUGGCGAGCAAAGGCGGUUUGAAGACGAUCGCCAAUGAGGA